AUUGAAAUCGGAUGUAUAAUCGGUUUAUAAAAAAAUGGAUCUUUAAUGUUGGUUUUAAACCGACAUUAAAGAUAGGCUACAAUGUUGAUUUAAAACUAACUUAGAGGUCCCCAGGUAUUUUUUUAACUUUAGUAAAAAAAACUCUCUUUCAUUUCACUGCCUUUCUUCUCUCUCAUUUCUCACUUCUCUCUUACAAACCCUCUCUUACCCUUGACCGUACCAAGAAGUCGCUCGCCAUCCGAUCGUCUAUUUUUCGUCCAGAUCUGGUUGUUCGCGUGCCAGUCCGUCGUGGGGUUCAGUGGAAGUGGGUCACGUGUUGUCCAACUCACCGUCCGGUCAUCUAUUUGUCGUCCAUAUCUGGUUAUUCGUGUAACGGUCCAUCGUGGGUUCAGUGGAGGUGGGUCGUGUGACGUCCAACUCGCCGUCCGGUUGUCUAUUUUUCAUCCAGAUCUAGUUGUUCGUGUGUCGAUCCAUCGUGGGGUUCAGUGGAGGUGGGUCGCCGGUCGUCGGAUCUGGUAGUUCAGCUCGCCGUCCAGCUUAUUCGGGUCGUGGAGUUGGGUUGCCGGCAUUGGAUCUAAAGAUUUAGUCGUGGGUCAUGAAGGUGGGUUGUCGGCGUUCGGUCGUCUGAGUCGUGGGCUUUUCCGAUCUGUAGAGGUGGGUCGCCGACAUUCGGGUCAUUCGGGUCGUCCGAGUCGUGGAGGUGGUCGCUAGCCUUGGAUCAGAUCUGUUUUUUUAGGUUUCUUUUUACUGAUUUUUCCUUAUUUGUUCAUAAUAUAAUAAAGUUCUUGAUCUCAUCUUGUUUUGUGAUAACAUAGUAUUUUUUUUUUCCUUCUUUUUACUGAUUUUUUUUCCUUCUUAGACCUGUUGGGGUUCCAUUCAAGUUGUUGAUUUCAUCUUGUAAGGGUACACUUAUUUCUCUUCCAUUUUUCUUUCAAUUUGUGAGUUUAAUUUCUUUUCUAAUUGAAGGAAUUUGGUUUUAUUGUUCAACGAUGUGUUAUUUAUCUGAAUAUCAGGAGAUUUCCAGUUUGUGUGCGAAGCCUUGUGAAUGAGAAGAUAUCUUCACUAUGGUUUUUGUCAUUAAGAAGUUUGGGGUGCUUUGUUCUCGAUUCACUAAUGAGGAGUUUUUCCAAAUGAGAUGCAAAUGUACUCUUUAAAAUAUUCUGCUUAGUUAUACUAAAAUAUUCAUGAAUAAUUAUGGAAGUCAAGUAGAAAAGCUUAGAAAUUGAGACAAAAAAAAAUGCUACUUCACAAUGAGAAUUCCUACUAAGUGCUAGCUUAUUUUCGCUAAUAUCAAAGAAUAAGGACGUUUAUUUUCAUUAUCAUGGUUGUCAAAAUAUUGAUAAGAUAUAGAGAAAUGAUAUAUAAUCUUGUCGUAUCUAUCUUCGACACUGGUAUGUAAUUUGCAGUAUAUCUUAUGUGUCCCCAAGCAAAUAUUUUCCUAUAAUAGCAACAACGUUCAAUAUGAAACUUAGAAAUAAGGAUUUAUUUAAUUUGUUUUAAAGUUCAUUGCUAUAUAUUAUAUCUAUAGAAGUUGUGACCAACAUACAACUUCUUUCCUUUCCUUUCCUUUGUUUUGUUCUUCUAUUUGGAAUUUUCUUAACACUCUUAGGCGAAGUGCUUGAAAAAUGGGGAGACUUUUUCCAUAAAGAAAAUCUUGUAGGACAGACGUUAUAUUAUGUGAAAUACUUGUAAGUGCAAAUCUUUUAUGAGUUUAUUUUAAAGAAUACUAUUGUGAUUUUGCUUUGGAUCAUUAGUGAAUGCAAUUACCAAUAUUAAGUCUAACUUAUGGGAUAAAGAGGGAUUGACAAGAAGAUCCAUGUGUGCCAGUGGAAUUCCCUUGGAGUGGUUUGAAUUGUAGUAAUGCAACUAAUUCAAGAAUCAUUUACUUGUGGGAGAAUAGUCCCUAGCUCCAGAAAUUGACAUCAGAAAACUUAGGACGACAUCAUUUAACACUAUUCAUUUAUCUUCAGCUUAUUUUUAAUCAUUUUAACUAUUUUGUAAUUCAUUUAUUUUGAAUGUUAUUCUUGUGUGCAACUUAAUAUGUAUACUCUACUUG
This is a non-coding RNA of Benincasa hispida (wax gourd), 2056 nucleotides long. NCBI's taxonomy places the organism in Eukaryota, Viridiplantae, Streptophyta, Magnoliopsida, Cucurbitales, Cucurbitaceae. The record is from RefSeq and is a predicted model, not a curated record.